This 260-nucleotide ribosomal RNA is filed under the name uncultured bacterium. Its description in RNAcentral is "partial 16S ribosomal RNA". It matches the Rfam family "Bacterial small subunit ribosomal RNA", at positions 57 to 305 of the family's 1533-position model. The record is from RNAcentral.
GCAAGUUGAGCGCUUGAGGGGGGCAACCCCCAAGAGAGCAGCGAACGGGUGAGUAACGCGUGGGUGAUCUUCCUUCGAGUGGGGAACAACAUCGGGAAACUGGUGCUAAUUCCGCAUAAUACCCUGGGGCUACGAGCCUCAGGAUCAAAGCCGGGGACCGUAAGGCCUGGCGCUUGAAGAUGAGCCCGCGUCCGAUUAGCUAGUUGGCGGGGUAAUGGCCCACCAAGGCUCCGAUCGGUAGCCGGCCUGAGAGGGCGGAC